This 74-nucleotide transfer RNA is filed under the name Pseudoxanthomonas composti. RNAcentral describes it as "Pseudoxanthomonas sp. GSS15 tRNA-Gln". It matches the Rfam family "tRNA". Rfam says of the family: Transfer RNA (tRNA) molecules are approximately 80 nucleotides in length. The record is from RNAcentral. Lineage: Bacteria; Pseudomonadati; Pseudomonadota; Gammaproteobacteria; Lysobacterales; Lysobacteraceae.
CACUGGAUAGCUCAGUUGGGUAGAGCGACAGAAGUUGAUUCUGUUUGUCGCGGGUUCGAAUCCCGCUCCACGCG